Molecule: ribosomal RNA, 253 nt
Filed under: uncultured bacterium
Lineage: Bacteria
Description: partial 16S ribosomal RNA
Rfam family: Bacterial small subunit ribosomal RNA
Source: RNAcentral
UACGUAGGGGGCUAGCGUUGUCCGGAUUUAUUGGGCGUAAAGAGCGUGUAGGCGGCCAGGUAGGUCCGCUGUGAAAGUCCGAGGCUCAACCUCGGAAUGUCGGCGGAAACCCUCUGGCUAGAGUCCGGAAGAGGAGAGUGGAAUUCCCGGUGUAGCGGUGAAAUGCGCAGAUAUCGGGAAGAGCACCCGUGGCGAAGGCGGCUCUCUGGAACGGUACUGACGCUGAGACGCGAAAGCGUGGGGAGCGAACAGG